This 253-nucleotide ribosomal RNA is filed under the name uncultured bacterium. RNAcentral's name for it is "partial 16S ribosomal RNA". It matches the Rfam family "Bacterial small subunit ribosomal RNA", at positions 524 to 776 of the family's 1533-position model. The record is from RNAcentral.
UACGUAGGGACCAAGCGUUGUUCGGAUUUACUGGGCGUAAAGCGUACGUAGGCGGCUUUGUAAGUUAGAGGUGAAAGCCCGGGGCUCAACCCCGGAAUUGCCUUUAAGACUGCAUCGCUUGAAUCGCGGAGAGGUGAGUGGAAUUCCGAGUGUAGAGGUGAAAUUCGUAGAUAUUCGGAAGAACACCAGUGGCGAAGGCGGCUCACUGGACGCGUAUUGACGCUGAGGUACGAAAGCGUGGGGAGCAAACAGG